Hyla sarda is the source of this 468-nucleotide long non-coding RNA. RefSeq lists it as uncharacterized. The transcript has 3 exons. The record is from RefSeq and is a predicted model, not a curated record. NCBI's taxonomy places the organism in Eukaryota, Metazoa, Chordata, Amphibia, Anura, Hylidae.
UGUAGAUCUGCUGACAUAGUGAGGAACCAAUGAUGUCCGGGCGUCAGACUCUACAGAGAAGAUGGAGCUGGAAGAAGACCUGAUAUCUGGACCAACAGAGAAGACGUCACUCAGCUAUUUACUCUACAGUCUACUGUGACACGGAUAUCGGUCCAUACACACCGAUGAAAUCUUGGUCCAUAUAUGCUGAUGUCAGAACGGUCCCGGUUCAUGUACACCGCUUGUUAUUACUGUGGUCGGUUGCUAGGGGCAACCACAAGAUAUGGAGCCCAAGUCCAAGCAUCAGUGACUGCAUUCCUUCUUGUCCACUUACCUUCUCUUUUGUUUGCUGCCUUUACAUUUCAGCUCUCACUGAGACUUUGUUCGCUGUCCCCCAGGAAUUGAUAUAUUAUCCCUUUAUUUAGUGUUGUAUCUACCACGUAUGAAUGCUGAGCAAAUUCAACCAAUCAAUAUAUACACCUUGUGGAC